GGUGAGGUGGCUGAGUGGUAAGGCACCACAUGGCACAAGUUGUCGUGGUCCGGAAGGUCGUGGGUUUGAUUCCCACCCUCAACA
This is a non-coding RNA of Pisolithus thermaeus, 84 nucleotides long. Lineage: Eukaryota; Fungi; Basidiomycota; Agaricomycetes; Boletales; Pisolithaceae. The record is from the annotation of a GenBank genome assembly.